CUCCACCUUGCGCCUGAGGAUGAAAACAAUGUCCGAAAGCGGUGUGUAGCCUUCACCAUCUCCCUCACUAAUGAGUUGAGGGUGAGACUGCUGGACGACAUCGAAGCAUUGCAGUACAUGUCAGUUUUCAAUGUGGAGGAAACUCUAAAGCACAAUAAGAGCCCUGGAGAAAUAGAAAAAAAAGCCAAGCUCCUCGGCUACUCCCCUGCAGAGAUAGACAAGAUUGUCCAGCAAUGGCGUGCCAUCCAUCUUAGUAAAUGGAAUGAGACAAAAAACACACUGGGCUUCUGGAGUGAGAUUUGGAAGUUCAGGGAUGCAGCUGAUAUCAACUUGCCAUGGCUGCUGUGUCUGUGUUGUCCUUGCCACACUCAAAUGCUGAAGUCCAGAGAGUAUUCAGCCAGAUGAGUUUGGUAUCUCGUCACUGCUCUAUGCCACCUCUCUACAGAGGACGCCCCAAGGAAGGUGUUAAUCAACCUGUACACCCUGGCCCUCCUCGUGAACUUCCUAACCCAGGAAUGGGGCGACCUGCGGGGGAAAGGAAGGCAGCGUUAGCCCGGGAACCACAGUAUGGAGCCAGUCUGCUUGGCCCUGCUCAACUUUGCUGUCGUGGAGCCGUAGAAGGACCCUUGUUGCGGAAGCCUUGAGUCACUAUUGAGUGAAGCACUUCCUGUUCUCCUGCACAAACCCCGCCUCUUGAUCCUGGCGGCCAGUCUUUGUACUCUAGGGCUCAUGAUUGCCAGGCUUAAACCGGCUCCUAAAGCUCUGGUUGAAGCAGGCCAGAGGCGGUUCUUCUCCUCAGCCCUGUGGUUCCUCCGUGGUGCCCUGGACUCCAGCUCAGGCCUGGGCCCAGUUCGGGUGAGCCCUGCCCUGAGAGGAGUGGUGGGAGGAGGCAGGGGAGCUGUGGAGGCAUGGGCAAGGGCAAUCUGAGGAAAUCCCCUACCACAAACUGAUGCACUUGUGUAAUUAAUGGUCAUGAAGAUGAGGGCCAGGAGUUUUUCCUGAGCAGACCGCAUAUCCUGACCUGGAAAAACUCCUGGCCCUUCAGCAUCUAGAGACUAAGACAAAAUGGCAGAAUAUAUCAGUGUGUUCAGUAACGGGUUGUAUUUGCAUUGUCAUGCGCUUCCUGAUAAACAUUUGUUGUUUGUUAGAUGGUAUGACUGUAUAUAAGCAGUCUGUUACAUGUAUGAAAGUAAGUGAAGCAUAAAAUAAAUAGUUAUUUUGAUAAAUAUUUCAACUUAAAUGUUGAUUUUCAACAGAGACAUGAUAGUAUGUGCACAUUCAAA
RNAcentral lists this long non-coding RNA (1283 nucleotides) under Salmo salar (Atlantic salmon). RNAcentral's name for it is "lncRNA (ENSSSAG00000083431.1, ENSSSAG00075017315.1)". Lineage: Eukaryota; Metazoa; Chordata; Actinopteri; Salmoniformes; Salmonidae. The record is from RNAcentral.